This 850-nucleotide ribosomal RNA is filed under the name Sanguibacter suarezii. RNAcentral describes it as "bacterial SSU rRNA". It matches the Rfam family "Bacterial small subunit ribosomal RNA", at positions 66 to 924 of the family's 1533-position model. The record is from RNAcentral. Lineage: Bacteria; Bacillati; Actinomycetota; Actinomycetes; Micrococcales; Sanguibacteraceae.
ACGGUGACGGAGGAGCUUGCUUCUCUUGAUCAGUGGCGAACGGGUGAGUAACACGUGAGUAACCUGCCCUUGACUCUGGGAUAAGCGUUGGAAACGACGUCUAAUACCGGAUACGAGACGCGAUCGCAUGGUCUGCGUCUGGAAAGUUUUUCGGUCAAGGAUGGACUCGCGGCCUAUCAGCUUGUUGGUGAGGUAAUGGCUCACCAAGGCGUCGACGGGUAGCCGGCCUGAGAGGGCGACCGGCCACACUGGGACUGAGACACGGCCCAGACUCCUACGGGAGGCAGCAGUGGGGAAUAUUGCACAAUGGGCGAAAGCCUGAUGCAGCGACGCCGCGUGAGGGAUGAAGGCCUUCGGGUUGUAAACCUCUUUCAGUAGGGAAGAAGCGAAAGUGACGGUACCUGCAGAAGAAGCACCGGCUAACUACGUGCCAGCAGCCGCGGUAAUACGUAGGGUGCAAGCGUUGUCCGGAAUUAUUGGGCGUAAAGAGCUCGUAGGCGGUUUGUCGCGUCUGGUGUGAAAACUCAAGGCUCAACCUUGAGCUUGCAUCGGGUACGGGCAGACUAGAGUGUGGUAGGGGUGACUGGAAUUCCUGGUGUAGCGGUGGAAUGCGCAGAUAUCAGGAGGAACACCGAUGGCGAAGGCAGGUCACUGGGCCACUACUGACGCUGAGGAGCGAAAGCAUGGGGAGCGAACAGGAUUAGAUACCCUGGUAGUCCAUGCCGUAAACGUUGGGCACUAGGUGUGGGGCUCAUUCCACGAGUUCCGCGCCGCAGCUAACGCAUUAAGUGCCCCGCCUGGGGAGUACGGCCGCAAGGCUAAAACUCAAAGGGAAUUGACGGGGGCCCGC